This 73-nucleotide transfer RNA is filed under the name Marmota marmota marmota (Alpine marmot). It matches the Rfam family "tRNA". Rfam says of the family: Transfer RNA (tRNA) molecules are approximately 80 nucleotides in length. Their secondary structure includes four short double-helical elements and three loops (D, anti-codon, and T loops). Lineage: Eukaryota; Metazoa; Chordata; Mammalia; Rodentia; Sciuridae. RNAcentral also lists the same sequence under 1 other name. The record is from Rfam by way of RNAcentral.
UGGGAUAUAGCUCAGUUGGUAGAGUGCUUGCCUCACAUGUAUCAGGUCCUGGGAUAAAUCCCCAGCAUCACAA